Phyllostomus discolor (pale spear-nosed bat) is the source of this 606-nucleotide long non-coding RNA. RefSeq lists it as uncharacterized. The record is from RefSeq and is a predicted model, not a curated record. Lineage: Eukaryota; Metazoa; Chordata; Mammalia; Chiroptera; Phyllostomidae. The transcript is spliced from 3 exons.
AGUUCUUUCGUAUUGUCAGGAAUAUCUCCCUUAGGAAAUCAAACUACUGCUUUCUCUUGGACUUUUAGAAAUGCAUUUCUAACUUCUAUGAUUAUCGUAUCUACAAUAGGUUAUGGGACAGUGUUUCCUAGAACUGCUGGUGGACAGAUGUUCUGUGUUGUCUUUGCUGCAAUUGGAAUCCCUCUAACCAUCAUAGUCUUUAAACAUGUUAGUACAUUAGUUUUUCUGCCAUUUGAAACACUUGGAAACUACCUUGAAAGUAAGGGAGUAAGUGAGAAAAAUGCUUCUCUUUGGAAAAUUGUACUUUUCAUUGUAAUUGGAUCGCUUUUGUUUCUGGUAUUACCACCGUUUGUUUUCAUGUCAUUAGAGAAUUGGACUUUCAUUGAAGGACUGUAUUAUUCAUUCACCACCAUAAGUGCUAUUGGUUUAGGAGACUACACAGUAGGUGAGUCUUAAUAAUCUUGAAAUAAUAUUCUCUAUCACAGCAACAGAUUGAAACAGAAUGUAAAAAAAGGCCCAACUAGAAAUGUUAACAGAUUUCUUUGAACAAUAAGAUGAAGGUCAGUCCUUUUCAAGAAAUCUCCAGGAUAUAAAUAAACCCAUCCA